This 198-nucleotide ribosomal RNA is filed under the name Triticum aestivum (bread wheat). RNAcentral's name for it is "partial small subunit ribosomal RNA". The record is from RNAcentral. Lineage: Eukaryota; Viridiplantae; Streptophyta; Magnoliopsida; Poales; Poaceae.
AUGGGUGGAAUGUCUUUCGAUGUGCCUCCUCGCACACAUUCCCAUGAAGAUGCCGUUGAAGAUCUUGCCAACACCGUCGGAGCUUCACGUGAUGCGGUGCGCGAUGAGGAGAGGGAGGAAGAUUCAUCUUCGGAGGCGGAAGAAUCGUCUUCCGAAGAUGAGGACGAGGACGAAGACGAAGACGAGGACGAGGAAUGA